This 449-nucleotide ribosomal RNA is filed under the name uncultured bacterium. RNAcentral's name for it is "partial 16S ribosomal RNA". It matches the Rfam family "Bacterial small subunit ribosomal RNA", at positions 29 to 523 of the family's 1533-position model. The record is from RNAcentral.
AACGAACGCUGGCGGCAUGCCUAACACAUGCAAGUCGAACGAGACCUUCGGGUCUAGUGGCGCACGGGUGCGUAACGCGUGGGAAUCUGCCCUUCGGUUGGGAAUAACUGAGAGAAAUCUCAGCUAAUACCUUAUAAUGUCUUCGGACCAAAGAUUUAUCGCCGGGGGAUGAGCCCGCGUAGGAUUAGGUAGUUGGUGGUGUAAUGGCCUACCAAGCCGACGAUCCUUAGCUGUUCUGAGAGGAUGAUCAGCCACACUGGGACUGAGACACGGCCCGGACUACUACGGUAGGCAGCAGUGGAGAAUAUUGGACAAUGGGCAAAAGCCUGUUCCAGCAAUGCCGCGUAAGUGAUGAAGGCCUUAGGGUUGUAAAGCUCUUUUACCCGGGAUGAUAAUGACAGUACCGGGAGAAUAAGCACCGGCUAACUCCGUGCCAGCAGCCGCCGUAA